ACUAACAAGGCAUUCCCCUAGUAGCGGCGAGCGAAGCGGGAAGAGCUCAAAUUUGUAAUCUGGCGUCCUCCGGGCGUCCGAGUUGUAAUCUAUAGAGACGUUUUCCGUGCCGGACCGUGUCCAAGUCCCUUGGAACAGGGUAUCAAAGAGGGUGACAAUCCCGUACUUGACACGACGACCGGUGCUCUGUGAUACGUUUUCUACGAGUCGAGUUGUUUGGGAAUGCAGCUCAAAAUGGGUGGUAAAUUCCAUCUAAAGCUAAAUAUAGGCGAGAGACCGAUAGCGAACAAGUACCGUGAGGGAAAGAUGAAAAGCACUUUGGAAAGAGAGUUAAACAGUAUGUGAAAUUGUUGAAAGGGAAACGAUUGAAGUCAGUCAUGUCCAUUGGAUUCAGCUGGUUCUGCCAGUGUAUUUCCUUUGGACGGGUCAACAUCAGUUUGAGCCGGCGGAUAAUGGCAGAGGGAAUGUGGCACCCCCGGGUGUGUUAUAGCCCUUUGUCGCAUACGUCGGCCCAGACUGAGGAAUGCAGCUCGCCUUUAUGGCCGGGGUAAGCCCACGUACGAGCUUAGGAUGUUGGAUCGAGUAAUAUCGCUGCG
This 596-nucleotide ribosomal RNA is filed under the name Saitozyma flava. Its description in RNAcentral is "LSU rRNA". It matches the Rfam family "Eukaryotic large subunit ribosomal RNA", at positions 64 to 651 of the family's 3401-position model. Lineage: Eukaryota; Fungi; Basidiomycota; Tremellomycetes; Tremellales; Trimorphomycetaceae. The record is from RNAcentral.